Molecule: ribosomal RNA, 1110 nt
Filed under: Flavobacteriales bacterium
Lineage: Bacteria; Pseudomonadati; Bacteroidota; Flavobacteriia; Flavobacteriales
Description: bacterial SSU rRNA
Rfam family: Bacterial small subunit ribosomal RNA
Source: RNAcentral
ACUGCCCUAUGGGUUGUAAACUUCUUUUGUAUAGGAAGAAACCCCUCUACGUGUAGAGGGCUGACGGUACUAUUCGAAUAAGCACCGGCUAACUCCGUGCCAGCAGCCGCGGUAAUACGGAGGGUGCGAGCGUUAUCCGGAAUUAUUGGGUUUAAAGGGUGCGUAGGCGGAAAUUUAAGUCAGUGGUGAAAGCCUACAGCUUAACUGUAGAAUUGCCAUUGAAACUGAAUUUCUUGAAUCUAAUUGAAGUAGGCGGAAUAUGACAUGUAGCGGUGAAAUGCUUAGAUAUGUCAUAGAACACCGAUAGCGAAGGCAGCUUACUAAGUUAGUAUUGACGCUAAUGCACGAAAGCGUGGGGAGCGAACAGGAUUAGAUACCCUGGUAGUCCACGCCGUAAACGAUGAUUACUCGCUAUUGGCGAUACACUGUCAGUGGCUAAGCGAAAGUGAUAAGUAAUCCACCUGGGGAGUACGAUCGCAAGGUUGAAACUCAAAGGAAUUGACGGGGGCCCGCACAAGCGGUGGAGCAUGUGGUUUAAUUCGAUGAUACGCGAGGAACCUUACCAGGACUUAAAUGCAUUACGAUCGGUUGGGAAACCAACUUUUCUUCGGACGGAAUGCAAGGUGCUGCAUGGUUGUCGUCAGCUCGUGCCGUGAGGUGUCAGGUUAAGUCCUAUAACGAGCGCAACCCCUAUUCUUAGUUGCCAGCGGUUCGGCCGGGGACUCUAAGAAAACUGCCAGUGCAAGCUGUGAGGAAGGUGGGGAUGACGUCAAAUCAUCACGGCCCUUACGUCCUGGGCCACACACGUGCUACAAUGGUAGGUACAAAGGGCAGCCACUUGGUGACAAGGAGCUAAUCUCAAAAACCUAUCUCAGUUCGGAUUGGAGUCUGAAACUCGACUCUAUGAAGCUGGAAUCGCUAGUAAUCGCGCAUCAGCCAUGGCGCGGUGAAUACGUUCCCGGGCCUUGUACACACCGCCCGUCAAGCCAUGGAAGCUGGGAGUACCUGAAGUCGGUAACCAUAUAGGAGCUGCCUAAGGUAAUACUAGUAACUGGGGCUAAGUCGUAACAAGGUAGCCGUACCGGAAGGUGUGGCUGGAACACCUCCUUU